This 240-nucleotide ribosomal RNA is filed under the name Triticum aestivum (bread wheat). Its description in RNAcentral is "partial small subunit ribosomal RNA". The record is from RNAcentral. Lineage: Eukaryota; Viridiplantae; Streptophyta; Magnoliopsida; Poales; Poaceae.
AUGAACUGCUUGGUGUGGAAUUGUCGCGGGGUCGGCGGAGCUCGGACAGUCCGCGAACUGGUGUCCCUUAAUCAAGUGCAUCACCCCCGAUUCAUCUUUUUAUCUGAGACUAGACAAGCCAAAGAGAAAGUUCAGCGUUUAUGCAAUCGUUUGGGCCUGAGAGGAUUUGCUGGAGUUAGUAGUGUAGGAUUUAGCGGAGGGCUGGCUCUCUUCUGGGACGAACACCUACAUGUUGAAAUA